AGAACGAACGCUGGCGGCGUGGAUAAGACAUGCAAGUCGAACGCUGACAUUUAGAUAGCAAUAUUUGAAUGUCGGAGUGGCGCAAGGGUGUGUAACACGUGGGCAAUCUGCCGUGAAGACUGGAAUAACUCGCUGAAAGGCGAGCUAAUACCGGAUGUGAACGCAAGUUCAAAGUUGGGGACCGCAAGGCCUGACGCUUUACGAUGAGCCCGCGGCCUAUCAGCUAGUUGGUGAGGUAACGGCUCACCAAGGCUAAGACGGGUAGC
Molecule: ribosomal RNA, 266 nt
Filed under: uncultured bacterium
Lineage: Bacteria
Description: partial small subunit ribosomal RNA
Rfam family: Bacterial small subunit ribosomal RNA
Source: RNAcentral